GUUUAGAUAGCUUAAACUUAAAGUUUAGUAUUGAAGAUACUAUGAUGAUUAUAUAAUCUUUAAACA
RNAcentral lists this transfer RNA (66 nucleotides) under Panesthia sp. Salganea. RNAcentral describes it as "tRNA-Phe". The record is from RNAcentral. Lineage: Eukaryota; Metazoa; Arthropoda; Insecta; Blattodea; Blaberidae. RNAcentral also lists the same sequence under 1 other name.